GGAAAGGUGUCCGAGUGGUUUAAGGAGGCGGUCUUGAAAACCGUUAACCGUGAACACGGUUCGGGGGUUCGAAUCCCUCCCUUUCCG
Molecule: transfer RNA, 87 nt
Filed under: Dialister micraerophilus DSM 19965
Lineage: Bacteria; Bacillati; Bacillota; Negativicutes; Veillonellales; Veillonellaceae
Rfam family: tRNA
About the family: Transfer RNA (tRNA) molecules are approximately 80 nucleotides in length.
Source: Rfam by way of RNAcentral